This is a transfer RNA of 87 nucleotides. It matches the Rfam family "tRNA". From Rfam's summary of the family: Transfer RNA (tRNA) molecules are approximately 80 nucleotides in length. Their secondary structure includes four short double-helical elements and three loops (D, anti-codon, and T loops).
GCGGGAGUGGCGAAAUCGGUAGACGCACAGGACUUAAAAUCCUGGGGUGGCGACACCGUGCCGGUUCGAGUCCGGCCUUCCGUACCA